UAGGGAAUCUUCCACAAUGGACGCAAGUCUGAUGGAGCAACGCCGCGUGAGUGAAGAAGGUCUUCGGAUCGUAAAGCUCUGUUGUUGGUGAAGAAGGAUAGAGGCAGUAACUGGUCUUUAUUUGACGGUAAUCAGCCAGAAAGUCACGGCUAACUACGUGCCAGCAGCCGCGGUAAUACGUAGGUGGCAAGCGUUGUCCGGAUUUAUUGGGCGUAAAGCGAGCGCAGGCGGAAUGAUAAGUCUGAUGUGAAAGCCCACGGCUCAACCGUGGAACUGCAUCGGAAACUGUCAUUCUUGAGUGCAGAAGAGGAGAGUGGAACUCCAUGUGUAGCGGUGGAAUGCGUAGAUAUAUGGAAGAACACCAGUGGCGAAGGCGGCUCUCUGGUCUGCAACUGACGCUGAGGCUCGAAAGCAUGGGUAGCGAACAGGAUUAGAUACCCUGGUAGUCCAUGCCGUAAACGAUGAGCGCUAGGUGUUGGGGACUUUCCGGUCCUCAGUGCCGCAGCAAACGCAUUAAGCGCUCCGCCUGGGGAGUACGACCGCAAGGUUGAAAC
Molecule: ribosomal RNA, 554 nt
Filed under: uncultured bacterium
Lineage: Bacteria
Description: partial 16S ribosomal RNA
Rfam family: Bacterial small subunit ribosomal RNA
Source: RNAcentral